AAUAAACGCUGGCGGCGUGCCUAACACAUGCAAGUCGAGCGAGAAAGCUCCUUCGGGAGUGAGUACAGCGGCGAACGGGUGAGCAACGCGUGGGAAUCUACCAUUCAGUGAAGAAUACCCUUGAGAAAUCGAGGUUAAUACUGCAUACGUCCUGUAAAGGAGAAAGAUGGCCUGUUUGCUGUCGUUGAAGGAUGAGCCUGCGUACUAUUAGCUAGUUGGUAGGGUAACGGCCUACCAAGGCGAUGAUGGUUAACCGGCCUGAGAGGACGAUCAGACACGCUGGAACUGAGACACGGUCCAGACUCCUACGGGAGGCAGCAGUGGGGAAUUUUGGACAAUGGGCGAAAGCCUGAUCCAGCCAUUCCGCGUGCAGGAUGAAGGCCCUCGGGUUGUAAACUGCUUUUGUACAGAACGAAAAGGUUUCUACUAAUACUAGGAGCUCAUGACGGUACUGUAAGAAUAAGCACCGGCUAACUACGUGCCAGCCGCCGCAGUAA
This 497-nucleotide ribosomal RNA is filed under the name uncultured bacterium. RNAcentral describes it as "partial 16S ribosomal RNA". It matches the Rfam family "Bacterial small subunit ribosomal RNA", at positions 29 to 523 of the family's 1533-position model. The record is from RNAcentral.